RNAcentral lists this ribosomal RNA (305 nucleotides) under uncultured bacterium. RNAcentral's name for it is "partial 16S ribosomal RNA". It matches the Rfam family "Bacterial small subunit ribosomal RNA", at positions 505 to 807 of the family's 1533-position model. The record is from RNAcentral.
ACAGCAGCAGCCGCGGUAAUACGAAGGGUGCAAGCGUUACUCGGAAUUACUGGGCGUAAAGCGUGCGUAGGUGGUGGUUUAAGUCCGUUGUGAAAGCCCUGGGCUCAACCUGGGAAUUGCAGUGGAUACUGGGUCACUAGAGUGUGGUAGAGGAUAGUGGAAUUUCCGGUGUAGCAGUGAAAUGCGUAGAGAUCGGGAGGAACAUCAGUGGCGAAGGCGGCCAUCUGGGACAACACUGACGCUGAGGCACGAAAGCGUGGGGAGCAAACAGGAUUAGAUACCCCUGUAGUCCCUGUCUCUUAUAC